UGGUUUCUUUAGGGCAGCUGGGCUGGCCGACCCAAAGGGGAUGUGCUGCUGGAGGGGGGUUUUGUCAAGGAUAGCCUGGUGGGGACAACGUCUAGGCCAUGUGCAGAGGAUCUCACGUGUGAGCUCUUUGAGGAAUGUCAACCACAGGAGAGAACAGUCUUUCCUUGGGGAGAGAUGGACCUGGACCACGCAGAGUUAAAUGUCUGACCUGAAUAACUGUGAAUGUCAAGUCUACUCCACGUUCACCUCCAGUCAAAAGUUUAAUGCAAGCACUCUACAAUAAUCAAUAUUAAAUAAAAAGAACUUCAAGCAAAAAAAAAUCACACCUCAGUAAAUCAGCCAAGGAGAAGGUUGUACUGCUCACCCUUGAGCAGCACCCAAAGUGUUGGGUGCCUGCAAGUGCUCAGAGGGCCAUAGAGAUGACAUUGCCAAAAAUUAUGAGGCUUGAUCCAAAAAUCUGAUAUGCAGAGAAGUGAUUCAGUACGGAUUGAUGUGGAUUUGGCUGUUCCACCCAGCCUUACUCUGCCUUUCUGCCUGUGCCUGAAGAGGAGUCUGGACACUGGCUGCUACAGGGACUCUGAAGUGGAGAAUUAUAAAUGAAGCUUGAAGAAUGGACAAAUGUCUUCUAAGUGAAUCUGCUCACUGACAAGGAGGGAAUUCACUCAUGGAUAACCCAAAUAAUCCGUAGAUUUCAUUGACAGUAAUCCCAGAACUCCAGAAGCUCUUCUUGUAAUAAGAAGAUUCUACAACAUCCUUUAUACAAAUAAAUUAUAAAUGGAACAGCUAUAAAGAAAUGUGUUAACAAUACAUUUAACACAAAAUAAUCACAAGUCUGUGUAAAUAAAGCAUGAAAAAGGAA
This is a long non-coding RNA of Passer domesticus (house sparrow), 859 nucleotides long. RefSeq lists it as uncharacterized. Lineage: Eukaryota; Metazoa; Chordata; Aves; Passeriformes; Passeridae. The transcript is spliced from 6 exons. The record is from RefSeq and is a predicted model, not a curated record.